RNAcentral lists this long non-coding RNA (559 nucleotides) under Pongo abelii (Sumatran orangutan). RNAcentral's name for it is "lincRNA". Lineage: Eukaryota; Metazoa; Chordata; Mammalia; Primates; Hominidae. The record is from RNAcentral.
GUAUUAGGCCUUGGACCAGCAGCAUGGGAGAAGCUAUCUAAGCAGGGAGCUGACACCCAGAGAACCAGACAGUAGGAGGGAGGCCUGGUGGCCCCAGAGUCCCUGGUUUGAGUCAUUCCUAAGGCUGGCUGCAUUCUUGUCAAGCCGGUGGUUUGGAUACUGGAGUCAAUAAGUAAUCCCCGUACUCCCCUUUCCCAGAAGCCCGAGCAAAGCUGGCUCUGUACCAGGAUGAGGGGAGGCUUGUGUGUGUGUGUGUGUGCGCUGUGGGUUCCUGAUCAGAAAGUUCUACCCCAUCUGAUGAGCCCUGGCAAAAAAGUCAUCAGAGAUGGUACUGAGGCUCUGAAAGCCUACGUGCUGGGGAAGAAGAUCCUAAGGAAGCAAUAAGGGAUUGUUAUAAGAACAGGAGUGAAAAUAACAACAGAGUCUCUGGCCAGGCCCCUCCUGAACAGUGGGAGGAUAUUUUGGCCUAGAGACAGCCACAGAGAGUCCCAAGGGGGUGGGGGUCAGGGGAGGGAUUGAGCUAAAGGAACGCUGGGGCAAUUCUACAACUAGGUCAAAG